GGUAGAGUACUCAAGCGGUCAACGAGAGCAGACUGUAAAUCUGUUGCCUUCGGGCUUCGUAGGUUCAAAUCCUUCCUCUACCACCA
This 86-nucleotide transfer RNA is filed under the name Edwardsiella phage pEt-SU. RNAcentral describes it as "tRNA-Tyr". It matches the Rfam family "tRNA". Rfam says of the family: Transfer RNA (tRNA) molecules are approximately 80 nucleotides in length. The record is from RNAcentral. Lineage: Duplodnaviria; Heunggongvirae; Uroviricota; Caudoviricetes; Chimalliviridae.